UUAAGCAUAUCAAUAAGCGGAGGAAAAGAAACCAACCGGGAUUGCCUUAGUAACGGCGAGUGAAGCGGCAAAAGCUCAAAUUUGAAAUCUGGCGUCUUCGACGUCCGAGUUGUAAUUUGAAGAAGGUAACUUUGUAGCUGGUCCUUGUCUAUGUUCCUUGGAACAGGACGUCAUAGAGGGUGAGAAUCCCGUGUGGCGAGGAUCCCAGUUAUUUGUAAAGUGCUUUCGACGAGUCGAGUUGUUUGGGAAUGCAGCUCUAAGUGGGUGGUAAAUUCCAUCUAAAGCUAAAUAUUGGCGAGAGACCGAUAGCGAACAAGUACAGUGAUGGAAAGAUGAAAAGAACUUUGAAAAGAGAGUGAAAAAGUACGUGAAAUUGUUGAAAGGGAAGGGCAUUUGAUCAGACAUGGCGUUUGCUUCGGCUUUCGCUGGGCCAGCAUCAGUUUUAGCGGUUGGAUAAAUCCUCGGGAAUGUGGCUCUGCUUCGGUAGAGUGUUAUAGCCCGUGGGAAUACAGCCAGCUGGGACUGAGGAUUGCGACUUUUGUCAAGGAUGCUGGCGUAAUGGUUAAAUGCCGCCCGUCUUG
RNAcentral lists this ribosomal RNA (581 nucleotides) under Kluyveromyces lactis. RNAcentral's name for it is "LSU rRNA". It matches the Rfam family "Eukaryotic large subunit ribosomal RNA", at positions 34 to 656 of the family's 3401-position model. The record is from RNAcentral. Lineage: Eukaryota; Fungi; Ascomycota; Saccharomycetes; Saccharomycetales; Saccharomycetaceae.